This 478-nucleotide ribosomal RNA is filed under the name uncultured bacterium. RNAcentral's name for it is "partial 16S ribosomal RNA". It matches the Rfam family "Bacterial small subunit ribosomal RNA", at positions 28 to 523 of the family's 1533-position model. The record is from RNAcentral.
GACGAACGCUGGCGGCGUGCUUAACACAUGCAAGUCGAACGGUAAGGCCCUUCGGGGUACACGAGUGGCGAACGGGUGAGUAACACGUGGGUGAUCUGCCCUGCACUUCGGGAUAAGCCUGGGAAACUGGGUCUAAUACCGGAUAGGACUCCGGACUGCAUGGUCUGGGGUGGAAAGCUUUUGCGGUGUGGGAUGGGCCCGCGGCCUAUCAGCUUGUUGGUGGGGUGAUGGCCUACCAAGGCGACGACGGGUAGCCGGCCUGAGAGGGUGACCGGCCGCACUGGGACUGAGAUACGGCCCAGACUCCUACGGGAGGCAGCAGUGGGGAAUAUUGCACAAUGGGCGCAAGCCUGAUGCAGCGACGCCGCGUGAGGGAUGACGGCCUUCGGGUUGUAAACCUCUUUCAGCAUCGACGAAGCGAAAGUGACGGUAGGUGCAGAGGAAGGACCGGCCAACUACGUGCCAGCAGCCGCCGUAA